Molecule: ribosomal RNA, 884 nt
Filed under: uncultured bacterium
Lineage: Bacteria
Description: bacterial SSU rRNA
Rfam family: Bacterial small subunit ribosomal RNA
Source: RNAcentral
CGCGUCAGCUACCAUGCAGUCGAGGGGAAACGGCAUUAUGUGCUUGCACAUUUUGGACGUCGACCGGCGCACGGGUGAGUAUCGCGUAUCCAACCUGCCCUUUACUUGGGGAUACCCCGUUGAAAGACGGCCUAAUACCCGAUGUAAUUCAUUGAUGGCAUCAGAUAUGAAUAAAAGAUUUAUCGGUAAAGGAUGGGGAUGCGUCUGAUUAGCUUGUUGGUGAGGUAAAGGCUCACCAAGGCGACGAUCAGUAGGGGUUCUGAGAGGAAGGUCCCCCACAUUGGAACUGAGACACGGUCCAAACUCCUACGGGAGGCAGCAGUGAGGAAUAUUGGUCAAUGGGCGCAAGCCUGAACCAGCCAAGUAGCGUGCAGGAAGACGGCCCUAUGGGUUGUAAACUGCUUUUAUACGAGAAUAAUUUGAUGCACGUGUGCGUUAUUGCAUGUAUCGUAUGAAUAAGGACCGGCUAAUUCCGUGCCAGCAGCCGCGGUAAUACGGAAGGUCCAGGCGUUAUCCGGAUUUAUUGGGUUUAAAGGGAGUGUAGGCGGUUUGUUAAGCGUGUUGUGAAAUUUAGGUGCUCAACAUUUAACUUGCAGCGCGAACUGUCAGACUUGAGUACACGCAACGUAUGCGGAAUUCAUGGUGUAGCGGUGAAAUGCUUAGAUAUCAUGAAGAACUCCGAUUGCGAAGGCAGCAUACGGGAGUGUAACUGACGCUUAAGCUCGAAGGGUGCGGGUAUCGAACAGGAUUAGAUACCCUGGUAGUCCGCACAGUAAACGAUGGAUGCCCGCUGUUAGCGCCUGGCGUUAGCGGCUAAGCGAAAGCAUUAAGCAUCCCACCUGGGGAGUACGCCGGCAACGGUGAAACUCAAAGGAAUUGACGGA